GUGCAAUUCCUUUCUAUUAUGUUUGUACAGCUCAAUGAUUCCUUGUUUUUUAUUUUGCAGGACUUUAAAUUGACAUCGAUGUUUAACAUUUGAUGUAGUGUGUAUAUUACGUUACCAUUUGUAUCGCUUGAUAUUGUGAUUGAUUAGACCUUGCAUUAUUUCAUGAUAUUCCCGAUCCAACUCCGGUGAGUAAAAUAUGGCCCAGUAAUUUUCCAGUGACACCUGUUCUCCAAUAGAGAUAUCAUCUGAUUGUGACUUUUUGUAUGAAACACAUAGUACAGUACAUAGUACCUGAGCCCAAAAGGUAGGAGGGUGGCUAAAAUUAUGUAUUUUUCUUUUUUAAUUUUGUGUAUCUGUUGUGUGUAUGUCUGUAUGUGUAUCUGUCACAUCUGUAUUUGUGUGUGUGUAUUUGAGUGUAUCAAUAAUAAUACUUUUUGUGUGUCUGUCUGACUCUGGCGUGUCUGUGUCUGGAAUGUGUGUGUGUCUGUCUCUGGCGUGUAUGUGUCUGUCUGUCUUUGGCGUGUGUGUAUGUGUCUGUGCCUGUCUGUCUGUCUCUGUGUCUUUGUCAGUGUGUGUGUGCCUGUGUGUCCCUGUCUGUCAGUGUGUGUGUGUGUCCCUGUCUGUCAGUGUGUGUGUGUGUCCCUGUCUAUGUGUCCCUGUCUGUCAGUGGCUAGAUCAUCAGCCCCCUCCGAUCACAUUGGGAAUUAUGUUU
Non-coding RNA from Pelobates cultripes (western spadefoot toad), 712 nucleotides. Lineage: Eukaryota; Metazoa; Chordata; Amphibia; Anura; Pelobatidae. The record is from the annotation of a GenBank genome assembly.